UUUGUCCUUUUUGUCAUGCAAUGUUGUAUCAUGAUUUUAUUAUGGAAAUUAUCGUUAAAAUCGAUACACGGAUAAAGAUGUAAUUAUAUACUUAUUAUUAAUUAUUAAUCUAUACAUAUAUGAUAAAAAAAAUGCGCUCAAGGUUUUUACAUGUUAAACUAUUGUUCGAUUACCUACCGUGUAUUCGAUUCGAUUAUUCCAAACAAAACUAAACUCACAUUCGAUUUCUUUCCCGACAUCCGUCCCUCUAGUCUCUUAUCUAGGCAUCCGACUAUUAACAACAAUUGAAAAACCGUUCCAACAUGGUACUUCAAAAAUCAAUCUCUCUAGACCUUAAAAGCCCGUGCUAGCCCGUGUAUUGUGUGCACGUAUUGUAUUCGCUUACGUUACGCAAUCAAAAAUAAACGGUGCUACUAGAAAAUAUUUAGCGUUAACAAUCAACGUUGCAAAUUCAAUUAAUACUGUUCAAUACCAAUGCAAGUGUUUGCCGCACAGCAAGAAAUUCGAACCUAUCUCGGUUCGCGAACAAGAUGAAAAAAAAAAACAUGAUUAAAUUACAACAUGUAAUCGGAUAUCCAUUUAAACAUCGGUAAUAUUCUCGCAAGUACGCGUGUCUAUCUACCUAUCAAAUCUUACCCAGGUAAAUGAGCGGCAUAACACUGUCUAAAAAAUUGUUUCUUCUGUUCUUCAGACACCGGAUCAUACACCAUCUUUCGAUUUAUUUUUUUUUUUGUUUUAAUAUAAUUUUUUAUUGUAUUAUCGAUGCGAUCAACGUUUCAAUCGUUUUCAUCUUCCCCUUUCGAUAUUUACACUUCUCGAGCUAUAUAUAUAUUUUUUUUCUCUUAAUUUUUUAUAAUGUAAAGUUUCGUUUCAAAUUCGUUCGCUCUCGACUUCGAUCGCGAACGAGAGUACGAUCAGUGGUCACGCUUAUGACUUGUCUAGUCAUAAGAAACGUAUACACAUUAUUGUACAUGCAUGUGUUAGUAAUAUACCGCAUACUGAGAAGAAUCGAAGCGAAUGUUACGCGUGCCGCGCUUGGUAUACAUACAUACGAUCAGAUCUAAUUUCAAUAUCAGAAUUAGCAUCUUGCGUAUCAUUGUCCGAACUUUGUCCAAAACAAUAUUCAUCGCUCGAAGUGCCAUAAACCAUCCAUUGUUCGUAUCUGGGAGAUUGGAGCAUCCUGUCGAUCAAGCUGUCCGUAGAUCCAACGAAAACUGUCUCCUCACUGCUGGGAUUGUCAGUUGGUCAUCGCAUAGAAUGCAUUAUUAACUAUUAUUGCUUGGUUUAUUUCCUUCUCUUCAGAUAUUAUCGAAUAUUAACAUGUAAAAGAUUUACUAUGGGCCGCGCAAAAAGUUCGAAAUGUCUCGGCAGAGAACAUGCGAUAUAUAAUAAAUGCAUAAAAAUAUUUAUUUUUUUUAUUGAUUUUUUCUUCCAAAAUUACCAGAUUUAAUAUAAUAAAUGUAAUAAAGAGUAA
Molecule: long non-coding RNA, 1474 nt
Organism: Apis cerana (Asiatic honeybee)
Lineage: Eukaryota; Metazoa; Arthropoda; Insecta; Hymenoptera; Apidae
Source: RefSeq, a predicted model, not a curated record